AACAGGUUCACACUGAAUGGCUGCUGGCAGAGGAGCUUUCAUGUCCUGAAACAACAAGAGGGUACAAAAGAACCACCCUGCAGAGCAGUAGCUUUGAGGGCCCUGUGGCAGGUGCAGCCAAAUCCCAGGAUCAACAGCCUGCUGCCUGCUCCUCCUCCUCUUUCCCCACACAGCUGCAGAGGCAGAUUCUCCUUCUGGCAGCUGCCACCACCGUGAGAAACAUAAGUCUGCAACGGCAAGCUGAGAGAUGCAAGGCGUCUUUAUCUUCAGAGUAUCUACCCUCAAGGGAGAAUAUCUCACACCUGUCACUCAGUCCAGAAUUUAAUGUAAGCUUAAAGAAGGCUUUGGGGAAACCCAUUUGCAGUAAAAGAACCUCCAGGUAUCCAGAGGUUCCUGCUACAAAUGACAGGCUGAUCUACUCGACACCAGGACCUUCAAAGUGUGGUCUGACCAAGCAAACCAAUUCUGAAAGAUCCACGAAGGACAAUGCCUAA
RNAcentral lists this long non-coding RNA (494 nucleotides) under Cyanistes caeruleus (blue tit). RNAcentral describes it as "lncRNA (ENSCCEG00000010160.1)". Lineage: Eukaryota; Metazoa; Chordata; Aves; Passeriformes; Paridae. The record is from RNAcentral.